This 79-nucleotide transfer RNA is filed under the name Salmo salar (Atlantic salmon). It matches the Rfam family "tRNA". From Rfam's summary of the family: Transfer RNA (tRNA) molecules are approximately 80 nucleotides in length. Their secondary structure includes four short double-helical elements and three loops (D, anti-codon, and T loops). The record is from Rfam by way of RNAcentral. Lineage: Eukaryota; Metazoa; Chordata; Actinopteri; Salmoniformes; Salmonidae.
UCCCAUGUGGCUCAGUUGGUAGAGCAUUGGGCUUGCAACGCCAAGAUUGAGGGUUUUGGGUUCAAUUCCCACAGGGGGA